ACGGCCGCAGUACCCUGACUGUGCAAAGGUAGCAUAAUCAUUUGCCCCCUAUACUAUAGGGGCUUGUAUGAACGGACUAACGAGUUUCUAACUAUCUUUACUAUAUUAUAUGAAAACUGAUAUACCAGUGAAAAAGCUGCUAUUGAACUGAAAGACAAGAAGACCCUGUUGAGCUUAACUAAAACACCGUUUUACACGGCCAAAGGUUUAGUUGGGGCAACUAUAAAUUAAACAAACAUUUUAACCAAUCUAGGCCUUACGCCUCACACCAGACCCUCWWKAUCAAUAAAUAUAGCUACCUCAGGGAUAACAGGCUAAUUUCUUUUAAGAGCACAAAUUGACAAAGAAGAUUGGCACCUCGAUGUUGGCUUAGUGUCCCCUGUUUAGUGCAGCAGCUAUCAAAGGUGGG
This 409-nucleotide ribosomal RNA is filed under the name Pseudopotamilla sp. 3 SMB-2010. RNAcentral's name for it is "partial 16S ribosomal RNA". It matches the Rfam family "Bacterial large subunit ribosomal RNA", at positions 1927 to 2575 of the family's 2925-position model. The record is from RNAcentral. Lineage: Eukaryota; Metazoa; Annelida; Polychaeta; Sabellida; Sabellidae.